Molecule: non-coding RNA, 1561 nt
Organism: Oncorhynchus mykiss (rainbow trout)
Lineage: Eukaryota; Metazoa; Chordata; Actinopteri; Salmoniformes; Salmonidae
Source: RefSeq, a predicted model, not a curated record
UACGGAUGGGAGGGAGGGCUCUGCUGCAAACAACCAUUUUUCUACAAACCAGAGCAGCAAUAAAUAACAGUAUUGAACAUCCUUCUGAUUCAAUCAGCAUGUACCAUUAAUAAGUAAAUACAUUGAAGAGUGGUCUCUCUGGUCUAAUGAUGUCUCCAUUUUGGCCCUUUUGGCUUUUCAUAACAAAGCCGCUCGACAUUUAGUUGAUUGUAGAGUAGUUGCUAAAUAGCUAGUGUAUGUCAGUGAACAUUUGCAUCUUAGUCAUUUAGAAUACGCUCUUAUCCAGAGCGACUUACAGUAAGGAGUGUAUAAAUGUUUAUACAUUUUCCUACUGGUCCCCCGUGGGUAUCGAAUGAGCACUCUAUACAGGCUUGUUAUAGCCACUAGUACAGUACGUCUUCACUACCUUCAGGAUAACGACCCUGGACAAAAACAAUAAAGCUUAAAGCUGCAAUAUGUCAGCGACCCGACCCGACCAAAUCCACAUAGAAAUAUUCUUGGAUCAACAAGGACAGUUAUGGCCUUAUGUUGAUGGGGAUAACCUGCUUGACUGAGGAGGCCCUCUGGACACGAACCACAGAGGGAGCUCUGUACCAAGCAAUCACCUUAAUUGCUAUUCAUGUUACCUCAAUCACUAUCAGGCACUUCACACACCAGUCAAACAUUGGAAUUAUCUGAAAUCUUAUCUGUCUAUUGAGCCUUAGAGCAAGCAAAGAAAAUAGUUAUUGAUCUCCAUUGAUGGUACGUGAUUUGUCUAAUACAGUAGGGCGGCAGGUAGCCUAGUGGUUAGAGUGUUGGGCCAGUAACUGAAAGGUUGCUGGAUCGAUUCCCUGAGCUGACAAGGUAAAAAUCUGUCAUUCUGCCCCUGAGCAAGGCAGUUAACCCGCUGUUCCCUGGGCACCGAAGACGUGGGUGUCGAUUUAAGGCAGCUCCCUGCACCUUUCUGAUUCAGAGGGGUUGGGUUAAAUGUAGAAGACACAAGGUAUUCAGUUGUACAACUGACUAGGUAUCAACAGCAGUUUGUUGUUAUUGCUGGAACUCAAAUGAGAUUCUGCCUAGAAACAUUAGAGUCACUGGCAGAAUGUUUACACGUGAUCGUUGGGAUCAGACUUAAAGGCAAUUGUCCAUCCAAAUUUCAACAUGGCAUAUUGGUUUCCUGUAAGCAGUGUAUGGAUAUGGUUAGACAGCAAUCCAUGUUCUGGUUUUGUCCAUUGACUGCUUACAGGGUAAGUAAACCAAUGUUAAAUGUGUGAAUUGGGUGAACUUUCCUUUUAAAAGCUAUGGUCUGACAAUGGCUCCACUGAUUGUGAGAUGGAUCUACACCCUCGUCUCUGACUACUUGAGCCACUUAAAGUGAUUGUGUCAUCUUCUUCCAGGAGAGUUAAUCAUUCUUCCUAUCCCUGUCUGGCCAGCCCUGAUGCAUGACUACCUGAUUUAGUGCCUCUGAGCUAAUCAGAUGCCAGCAGGGAAUUUCAUUAAAACGGCAAUAAAAUAAAGAUCUUCCUGCCUUGUCUCUUGGGGUUGGUUUCUGUGUGCCAAGUUGAGUGGGGUUUGUGUUUGU